AACGAACGCUGGCGGCUGGCUUAACACAUGCAAGUCGAGCGCCCCGCAAGGGGAGCGGCAGACGGGUGAGUAACACGUGGGAAUCUACCCAUCCCUGCGGAACAACUCCGGGAAACUGGAGCUAAUACCGCAUACGCCCUUCGGGGGAAAGAUUUAUCGGGGAUGGAUGAGCCCGCGUUGGAUUAGCUAGUUGGUGGGGU
This 200-nucleotide ribosomal RNA is filed under the name uncultured bacterium. RNAcentral's name for it is "partial 16S ribosomal RNA". It matches the Rfam family "Bacterial small subunit ribosomal RNA", at positions 29 to 258 of the family's 1533-position model. The record is from RNAcentral.